UACGUAGGUGGCGAGCGUUAUCCGGAAUUAUUGGGCGUAAAGAGCGCGCAGGUGGUUGAUUAAGUCUGAUGUGAAAGCACACGGCUUAACCGUGGAGGGUCAUUGGAAACUGGUCGACUUGAGUGCAGAAGAGGGAAGUGGAAUUCCAUGUGUAGCGGUGAAAUGCGUAGAGAUAUGGAGGAACACCAGUGGCGAAGGCGGCUUCCUGGUCUGUAACUGACACUGAGGCGCGAAAGCGUGGGGAGCAAACAGGAUUAGAUA
RNAcentral lists this ribosomal RNA (261 nucleotides) under uncultured prokaryote. RNAcentral's name for it is "partial 16S ribosomal RNA". It matches the Rfam family "Bacterial small subunit ribosomal RNA", at positions 524 to 784 of the family's 1533-position model. The record is from RNAcentral.